Long non-coding RNA from Capsella rubella, 1176 nucleotides. RefSeq lists it as uncharacterized. The record is from RefSeq and is a predicted model, not a curated record. The transcript has 2 exons. Lineage: Eukaryota; Viridiplantae; Streptophyta; Magnoliopsida; Brassicales; Brassicaceae.
UUCAUUUAUUAAAUAACAAAUCGGAGGACAAUCGUUCCACGAAAACUCUCUCUUCUCUCUCCUAGAAACCUUUUCAACAAAUCUCAGAUCCGAUCUCUAGUGGCCUUGGUUUUUAAUCCCACAAGAUUCAGAGUGUUCAGAGACAGCUAAUUCUCCUCACCGUCGGCUUGGGUGAGGUUUUUCUUCUUCUCUGGCGUAGAUCUAGACCCGAUGUAGUGGUUAGAGUGCGGUGCUACAGACCUCCGAUAUGAGGGAGUCGGCAGGUGUAGCGGCUGCCUCGUGGCUCGCCCGUUGUGUCGGCGAUGGAUCUACGGCGGAAGCCAAAGGACGAGAUGGUGGGUGGCUGAAGCGCCUUGGAGAUUAACGGUGGAUCCUUUUUGGAUCUUGCCGGCCGUCGUGGAGUCUGCGCGUCUGGGCUUCUGAUUGAGCCGUCGGCCCUAGUCGCCGCCACGACUUGCUUUCUCCGGGUCGGCUAGAGGAGUUUUGGUGAAGCGAUUGGAGACUCGCCGGUUUCAAAAGAGGUGAGGUUAUGUCCGAAGUUGGCCGCUCGCUUGGUCUGGGAGUGUCAACAAUGUGCUGCGUAGUCGGAGGUUGGCCAUAUCGGGAGGUUUGUGGCGGGUCGAUAGAUCGAGGGUGAAGAAACGGCACCGAAGUUGGAUGCUUCCUUUCCGCUUCUUGAUCCCUCGGUGGUUUGCAAAGCCGUGGUCCUCGCAUCCACCAGUAUCAAUGGUCUGACUCUUUGCUCGCGGUGUCAAUACGACACGAGUCGUUUCUCCGGCGCCGGUGGUUUUUAGGUUUCCGGUUGCUUUGGUCUCUGUUCAUAUGUGCUUUGUGGCCCGGCCCAUUAAGGGGUUCUAUUAAUAAAAUUUGGCCCAUUAAAACUAUAUGAGGGCUCCCAAUUUGUGUCCAUCGGUGAGCUUUCAUCGUCGUCAUAUACAUUUGUGUCUGUCGUCGUAAGGUGUUGAUUUUGGUGAAGCUCGUGAAUAUGGUUGAGUUGUACUUAGUGUGUGGUAACUGGAAACAAAAUGUUAAUAGAAGCUUGAAUUUCGUUAUGGAUUCACAAAAGGAAAGAUCUCUUAGUGAAGUAGAAAUGAAUGUAACAUCAAAAGAGAGAGGACAUAUACAUAUAAUUUUUUACACAUAAAUCAUAUAUAAAUGAAUGUGAAAGAUUGAGUA